Xenopus tropicalis (tropical clawed frog) is the source of this 364-nucleotide long non-coding RNA. RefSeq lists it as uncharacterized. The record is from RefSeq and is a predicted model, not a curated record. NCBI's taxonomy places the organism in Eukaryota, Metazoa, Chordata, Amphibia, Anura, Pipidae. The transcript is spliced from 2 exons.
CCCUGUUUACUGUAACAGAGCCUAGUGAAUGAGAGAGUUAAUAUCUGUGUUCUGCACUCACUGAAUUCACUGCUUCUCGGCAGGCAAAAGAGAGCAUGAGGAUUUCUUAUCUACUCUAAGGUAGAGCCUUGCCAGGGCACCUCACAGAGGAAGCAGCCUCCCACAUUUAUGUCAUCAGUGCACACAGUUGUAAAGCGAUCCUUCUGGGUACAGCAGCACACUAAAGCGUCUGUACGACUCCGACACUCGCACAUCUCUCCCUUCUGCUAGACAAGAAAAAAUCUGGACAAUGUUACCUGGAUUUUGCACCUUCAAGGGAAUUGCACGCACCCUGGGAAUGGCAAUCAAUGAUCGUCCAGACCUG